GACGAACGCUGGCGGCGUGCUUAACACAUGCAAGUCGAACGGAAAGGCCCUGCUUUUGUGGGGUGCUCGAGUGGCGAACGGGUGAGUAACACGUGAGUAACCUGCCCUUGACUUUGGGAUAACUUCAGGAAACUGGGGCUAAUACCGGAUAGGAGCUCCUGCUGCAUGGUGGGGGUUGGAAAGUUUCGGCGGUUGGGGAUGGACUCGCGGCUUAUCAGCUUGUUGGUGGGGUAGUGGCUUACCAAGGCUUUGACGGGUAGCCGGCCUGAGAGGGUGACCGGCCACAUUGGGACUGAGAUACGGCCCAGGCUGCUACGGGAGGCAGCGGUGGGGAAUAUUGCACAAUGGGCGGGAGCCUGUUGCAGCACCGCCGCGUGCGGGAUGACGGCCUUCGGGUUGUAAACCGCUUUCGCCUGGGACGAAGCGUGAGUGACGGUAAUGGGUAAAGAAGCACCGGCUAACUACGUG
This 468-nucleotide ribosomal RNA is filed under the name uncultured bacterium. Its description in RNAcentral is "partial 16S ribosomal RNA". It matches the Rfam family "Bacterial small subunit ribosomal RNA", at positions 28 to 507 of the family's 1533-position model. The record is from RNAcentral.